This 159-nucleotide ribosomal RNA is filed under the name uncultured Acinetobacter sp. RNAcentral describes it as "partial 16S ribosomal RNA". It matches the Rfam family "Bacterial small subunit ribosomal RNA", at positions 373 to 525 of the family's 1533-position model. The record is from RNAcentral. Lineage: Bacteria; Pseudomonadati; Pseudomonadota; Gammaproteobacteria; Moraxellales; Moraxellaceae.
GGGCGGACCUGAUCGCCAUGCCGCGUGUGUGAAGAAGGCCUUAUGGUUGUAAAGCACUUUAUGCGAGGAGGAGGCUACUUUAGAUAAUACCUACAGAUAGUGGACGUUACUCGCAGAAUAAGCACCGGCUAACUCUGUGCCAGCACGCCGCGGUAUAUA